CAACUGCCCAACUGCCUCAGAACUCAGAACGUUCCAGACCAACUGCCCACCUGACAGUGGUAUAAAUAGCUUCACCCAACUGACAAAUCUAGAUGAACAAGUUGACUGAGGGCUAGGAAGGUGGCCUGCAGGGCUGGGGUGUAGAUGGUUUAGUGAAAGUCUUGUAGGCUCUGGGUUGACUCCUAAACAUCUGAAAAGGAGGAUGAGCAGCUGGACCAAGGCCUGGCUGUGGCUGGGUAGUACUGUACUUGCUCUUAGAUGGCACCUUCCUGCUCAGACCCUUCCUCCGCAGACUCCAGUCCUCUGUGCAUACAUCAGCCACUCCGUCUCCGAAUCCUGCUUCACUGUUGCAGAAUGGAGGCUGCAGGGCAGCAGUUAGGGCAAGAGGUCUGUGGCUCAUGCCCGUUUUGGUGCUGCAGAACCUCUGCUGGGCACAAGCAGGUGGUUUCCUUGGCCCCAGUUCCCUUUUCAGUGUGUCUUGUGUUGGAAAGUUUUGCCCUGCUUUUUCUUGGACCCUUGAGUCUCCAUGGGGAAAAUACAUAGCACGUGGGGCCAUGUUUCCAUUUUGUUGCUCGAAUCUGUGGGAAAGAAAGAAUCCUCCUUCUGUGUUUGGGCUGAAACCAACCACCCUGGACUGGCGGCUCAUCACACCCGACAGUGAUAACUCUUCUGGGAACAGCCACCUGAUCAGAGUGCAGCAAUACUCCAUCAGCCAGACGGCCAGACUCGGAAUUGCGACUCACGGAGGCAGCUAUAUUGACUCCCUGCAGGUCCCCGUGGAACACUCAGUUCUUGCCAGUGCAGAACCCUGGAACCCAGGAUUACCGGCCAGUGCAAGACUUGAGAGAGCCAGGACCCCCAGGAGUGUAGGAGUCGGACAAGAGAUCUGCUUGGGACCCUGCAGCAAUUGGGCACCGAGCUUGGGCAAAGAUGGCCAAGAUGCAAUGUACUUAUAUAUUUUCCCAACAUAAAUUUGAUUAGUGUGUAUUGCAAACAAUUACAGAUAGUAACCCUAAAAAUAAAUGGUGACACUGACCAC
This is a long non-coding RNA of Heterocephalus glaber (naked mole-rat), 1039 nucleotides long. Lineage: Eukaryota; Metazoa; Chordata; Mammalia; Rodentia; Bathyergidae. The record is from Ensembl.